RNAcentral lists this ribosomal RNA (305 nucleotides) under uncultured bacterium. RNAcentral describes it as "partial 16S ribosomal RNA". It matches the Rfam family "Bacterial small subunit ribosomal RNA", at positions 334 to 655 of the family's 1533-position model. The record is from RNAcentral.
UAUUCCUACGGGGGGCAGCAGUGGGGGAUAUUGCACAAUGGGGGAAACCCUGAUGCAGCGACGCCGCGUGUGGGAAGACGGUCCUCUGGAUUGUAAACCACUGUCCCCAGGGACGAAGAUGACGGUACCUGGGGAGGAAGCUCCGGCUAACUACGUGCCAGCAGCCGCGGUAAUACGUAGGGGGCAAGCGUUAUCCGGAUUUACUGGGUGUAAAGGGAGCGUAGACGGCAGUGCAAGUCUGGAGUGAAAGGCGGGGGCUCAACCCCCGGACUGCUCUGGAAACUGUACGGCUGGAGGGCAGGAGG